GCCAGAUGGUGGUAUGUGUUGCCUUCUAGAAUUGCUGAAUUUGUUGGUCAUUAUUUUCUAUUAAAAAAAGAUUAAAAAAUGUUUUUAGCUUCAUAACUUUGUUCUGUCUGAUAAUUCACCCAAAUUAUAGAAUAAUACUGAGCCAUGGUUGUCUGUGCAGCAACCAUUGAUAUGCCAGAGAGAGAUUUUUUUUUUCUUUUUACUAUUUAUUUAUUAUUUCUUUUUUUUGUUGGAAGGGAUGGGGGUGGGAGAGGGAGGAGUGAAGGAUAGAGUCUGCAUAUGGGGGACACUUCGCUUGUGUAUAGUUUGUGUUAUGAUGGAACUUUUAUUAAAUUAUUGUAUUCUCACUCGUGGGUGAUCUGUAUCUCACCAUGACUAUCACUUUUAUCCUUUGGUCAUGAUAAGAUAAUGUUCUAUGAGUGCAACUCUAAUUAGCUGCUUGAUCUUCUGUUCUUCUAUGACCUUAUAGCCACUGUCGUUUGCACUAUGUUUGGGAAUUUUUGUUGAAUAGGAAAAGAAAGGAUGAUUUUAAUCCAUAGGAUAGGAAAAUAAAAGAAAUGAGAGGUUAAAUAAUUUCUCAUGUUUGGAAGUUUCA
RNAcentral lists this unclassified non-coding RNA (595 nucleotides) under Hevea brasiliensis (rubber tree). Lineage: Eukaryota; Viridiplantae; Streptophyta; Magnoliopsida; Malpighiales; Euphorbiaceae. The record is from RNAcentral.